This is a long non-coding RNA of Gopherus flavomarginatus (Mexican gopher tortoise), 247 nucleotides long. RefSeq lists it as uncharacterized. The record is from RefSeq and is a predicted model, not a curated record. The transcript is spliced from 2 exons. Lineage: Eukaryota; Metazoa; Chordata; Testudines; Testudinidae.
CUGCAACAUUCUCGGAGGCACCAUAGGCAUGGAGCAUGAGCCCCGUUCCACAGAUGGGGAAGCUGAGGCACAGGAGCCAGGACGACUCCAACAUAUGGCUGGAGAAGAGGAGACAGAAAAGAGGGAGACCCGCUGCUCUCCCAGACAGCCUAGACUCUCAGUGACCUGUAACUGGAGCACAGACAUUCUGAUAAAAAAAAACCCACACUCACAACCUUCCUCCUCCCACAAAAGACAACAACCCACA